Onychostoma macrolepis is the source of this 2202-nucleotide long non-coding RNA. RefSeq lists it as uncharacterized. NCBI's taxonomy places the organism in Eukaryota, Metazoa, Chordata, Actinopteri, Cypriniformes, Cyprinidae. The record is from RefSeq and is a predicted model, not a curated record. The transcript has 3 exons.
UCAAAAGUGACAGGAUUUUCAAUAUUGUCCAAAACUACUGCUUUUCGAGCAUCUGUUUGUGUUUGUUUGGUUGCAAGUAAUCCUUAUUUGUCUCAGUCUUCGAAAGAGUUGUUUGUUUUCUAUGUACGUGUGCGCACACAUACAUAACUUAUGCAUACGCAAGCUUGGUUUAUGCCAAAAAGUGAGAUCCACACCUGGUUUCACUAACCCUUGAGACAAAGAAGAAAGCUUUUGAAUAAUAACAAGGGGAACAACACCUGAAGCUGCAACCGCACAAGUUAAUUGAAUAUUCCUCUUUCUUCUUAGAAGAGGCUGAUACAAAACACGAAGAAGGGCCCUUGAGCGUGCCAGCAUUGCAUUUACCCAAGGCCGUCCAACGCUGGCUGCUGCCUCGUAAACAGCGACUUGGUUUUGUGGUGACUCAAAGCCAGGCUAAUCCGCCAUUGCCACAGAAGGAAUCUGAUUGGGGGUUUUCAUCUUGUUAUCUUUGCCUUCAUCAGUACGAGUCUGCCUUACCAAGGCUUUGGGCAAUUCCUCCAGGGAAUGGAAGGAGCCACCGUCAUUUAUUUCUUGGAAGGAGCUAUUGCAGUGCUCGCUGCAGAGUUGCCAUGGAGAUCUGCCUCCGUGUUUCACAAGGACAAAGGCAAAACCGUGAGGAAAGGAUAAAUCCAUCUCAAGCGUAAAGAAAGGGGACAAAUUAAACGAACAAACACUACGUGGCUGAUACAAUCGAAUGUGCAGCACAAUUAAACAGCCAUUACCAAACCUCACCGAAUGUGGCGCUUUCAUUCUGGGCUGUUUGGAGAUUGUUCAGGAAGAGAGGAUAUCCUUGUGCUACCUCAAGCGUCCUCUGAAACUAGCUAUGUUGGUUAAGUCUUCUGACUGGUCCCCUGCUGGUGGGAGGAUGACUCAUGCUCAGAGUGACCUUCUGUCAUACCACCCUCAAUAAUAUUGACAGAGGCUUGCCUGUGGUCCUUACAUUCAUCUUCAUUAGCACUUGGCUUUAAGCAUCAAUGUCAUUGUCCGCUCCUGGGAGGCCUUCACUGCUAUCUCUGCCUCUGUCUGCCCCAGUCGCCACAUCUUUCAUCCUCUUCUUGCCGUGGCUUAGCUUAGAGGGAGCUCAAUCAGACUAUCAUCCGAGACAUGUUUGCCUGCAAUCUGCCCUUUUUAUCUCUGAAAACUAGGGCAAGGAGGAGGAAAACAUUGAUCUUGGAAAAUAAUUGCUUAAAGGGAUACUUCACCUCAAAAUUUGAAUUUGUCAUCAUUUACUCGCCAUUUGACAAGCAAAGAACCGAUGAUGGAUAUUCUUCAGGGCCAAGAUAUUAUUCAAAUUUGAGUUCCAAAGAAGAAAUAAGGUCAUACAGGUUGAGUAAAUGAUGACAGAAUUUUCAAAUAACUUGGUGUGUCAAUUUUAAAAAGAGCAACAGUCUAUUUGGUGUAUGUGUUUAUAUGGUUUGUUGCAGUUACGUUAGCAGUAUUUGUGUCCUAUUCUGUGUACAGUACAUGCGUGUGUGAUCGUGUGCUGCACAGGAGGAGUCAUCCAUCUCCGGUAGUCAGCGUGGGACCUACAGUCUGUGACCACAGGCAGCAGGGCUCUGCCGCACAUCCACGUUCCCAUCAGCUUCAGAGAGGUCAGAACUGAGAGAAGGGGUACGGAUUAUCUUUAUUUCAUGCUGGUAGACUCUCUUCCUCUUUACCUACAAUCCCUUCCCUACUGCUGCUGUCACACCCAGAAAGACGAAACAGAAACGCUCUCCUUUGGUGCUUUAAAUGAGCUGUGUGUACAUCCAGGAAAUGUGCACACCACCGCCUGCCGUACUAACAUGAGCCCGCUGUGAGUUUAAACACAGCUUUCUGAUGACUGCUAGUCGUCGUAGAGGAAGCACCUCUUUAUUCUCUGUCCUUAAUAUAAUGUUUUUAUAAAAAAAAAAAAAAAAAUCAUAACGGUGCAGGAAAGUUUUUAAUGGGGUUUAUAUAAUAAACCUCUUUACCAAGUCCAACUUGGUAUUUCCCAAACAACUUAAGUAUUUACCAAUAAUAUAAAACAAUAUUAGUAAAAGAAAGAGAAAAUGACUUUGAAAGAAAUAUUUCAUGCUCACCACUGCUGCGUUUAUUCAAUCAUUUAGUCUUUAAUUUUUUUUUUUUUUUAGACAUUACUUUCAUAUUUUGGUUUUAUAUGGUUAAUUUUAUUUUAGUUUUCUA